Molecule: long non-coding RNA, 30263 nt
Filed under: Phaseolus vulgaris (common bean)
Lineage: Eukaryota; Viridiplantae; Streptophyta; Magnoliopsida; Fabales; Fabaceae
Description: long non-coding RNA (PVUL_LNC003683)
Source: RNAcentral
GUGAAAACGGGGUUGUGGGAAAGCUAUACAAGUGUCGUGCUGCUAGGCGAAGCAGCAUAGAAUGCUGCACCCUAGAUGGCGAAAGUCCAGUAGCCGAAAGCAUCACUAGCUUACGCUCUGACCCGAGUAGCAUGGGGCACGUGGAAUCCCGUGUGAAUCAGCAAGGACCACCUUGCAAGGCUAAAUACUCCUGGGUGACCGAUAGUGACUACCAACUCGUGCGUUGGACUAUAUAUUAUGGGUGGUCCGAUAGCGGUCCGAUAGUGGGUGGCCUGAUAAGCCCAACAAAUACUCACUAGGAUAGGCUCGAAAAGGCUCUGAUACCAUAUUACGAAGUGAACUUUAAGCCUAACUCAACCCCAUAAAACCGGCUCAUGAGAUUAAGGUUUGCACCCACUUAUAUACAAUGAAAGGCUCUAAUCUCUAGUCGAUGUGGGAUAUCCAACCCAACAUACAAUUUUAAUAGUUAAGUUACACUAAAAAAUAUAUUAAACAAAUUCAAACUUAUAACACAAUAACCAUAAUUAUAUUAAAACAAUUACGUCAUUUGCUUCAUUCUCAAUAUUUGUAUAUCAUUAAUUUUGAUCUAUUACUACUAUAAAACUAAAAAAAGAGGAAUAUAAUAACGAAAAGAGAAAGAAAAAGAAUAAGAUGAGAACAAACUCUAAGAAAAUAUAUAUUUUCUAAUCUCUUUGCUCUUUUCUGCAACAAUGCCGGAACGCAUUCAUUCUCCUUGUCGACACCCACAUCAACAAUGACAUUAAAAUAACUCCGUACCUGUGCAAAAAUUUAGAUGCUCUGUAUUAAAGUAACAAUUUGAUAUAUUCUGCUUCUCUGUCGUUUUCCUCUUCCACCUUCACUUGCUGUAUGAAAAUGAAAAACAGAGUAAAAAAUAAAAAAAGAGGAACAUUAACAAUUAAGCAAUCAUAAUUUAUGCAAUUUAUAUUAAUUGAUCAAAAUAAAAUAAUAAAAAAUACCUUUAGAUUGACGAGAAUGAAAAAAAAAACUAAAUUUUGGUGGUUUCCAUUCAUUUUUUUAUGUUUCUUUUUUUUUUCUUUUUUUCUCGCUUCAAUCUUUUUUUUUCACACUUCUCUCAAAAGUUUGCCUUGUUGCCCGUUUGACUGCUAUCAAUUCAGGUUUCUAUUUAAAAUUUUAUUUGACUCAUUCUUUUCAAAUAAAUGUAUUACACCUUUCUCAAAUAGUUCAUUUCAAAUUUAAUAUUAACUAUAUUUCUUAUUGUAAAUUUAAGUAAUUAUAAAAUAAUGAAAUAAUCAAAAUAAAAGAAUAAAAUAAAAUAUUUAUAUAUAAAUAAAUUUGUGUAAAAAAAAGUUAUAAUAAAGAAUCCAUUUAUAUAUAUAUAUACAUAUAUAUAUCGUGUUAUAGACAGAAAAAUAAGUAAAAUGAAACAAAUAACUAUUUUAUUACAAUAAAAAAAUAUUUUUAUUUCUCCUAGAUAAUCUUAAAAGAGAUAUUUUAAGAAAUAUUUAAUUAUCAACUUUACUGUAUUCAUUGCUAUAAAGUUCUAAAAAAAUAGUGUAUAUUUUGUCUCAUUGCUUUUAUUUUUUAUUUUAAUCUUCAUCUUCAUUCUGCUUUCUCCAACUCUCUACGACACAUUUAUGACUCAUUAUUUAUAUUGCUUUUGAAAUAUAUGUCGUGUUUUUUUGUGGUAGUGUUCUGUUAAAUCAUUCGUAACUGUUAUUAUUUUUCACAGCUAUAAUAAUCUAUAAAAAAAAAUUAAAAAAAUUGUCUUUAUUACUCAAAUUCAAGUUUUGUAAUUGAAUUAAAAGAUUAUUGUUAAUAAAAUACACUUCCUUAAAAACAAAUAACUUUAAGUGUAUUGGAAUAAUGAUAUUAGUUCUUAAAUUUCAGUAUUUUUUUAUUUAUUAAAAUUUAGUGUUAAAAAUAGUUUAUGCAUUUUUUUUAAUUUUUUUUUUCUCUAGUCCCAACUUUAUAUCUUAUGAGUAUAUGUAAUAAAGAAACUAUUGAAAUCAGUCAUUAUCUGUAACAAACAAAUCUCUACCAUGAAUUGUAUUGUAAUAUUAUAAGAUUCAUGUUAGCAUUGGAAAUUCGUCUAUCACAUAAAAAAAUGACAAUGACCUAUUUUAGUAAAUUUUUUACUAUAAAUAAUAAAAAAAUUGUACUAAUAGGUAUGUGCGACUGAGACCAUGUCUCGAUCUCGAUCAUCACACCGACGGGCACCACACAUCCAAUUAUGCUAAAGUAGAAUUAUUGAGGCUAAUCAGUAAUCAAGAGACACUUCUAAACAUGACUCAAGUUCUCUAAAACCUGUCUUAAUAAGAAAGGUCUACCACAAUUAUAUAAAUAGACACAAAAUCCAAAAACCAUGUAUGUCAAUAUAUAGUGCUCAGAAUACUGAGUGUCAAAUGCUAUAUCUGGCUUGAGCGUCAAAAUGUCUUUUGUAGGUACCAUCCGAUAGUUCUUAACUGCGAAAGCCGAUGAAUGAAGUGGGUAGAGGAGAUGAACGAGUUUGUUUGGAGGGAAACUGAAGUGCAAACCGAUCGACCGACGAAGAAGCAAAGGAGUAGCUCCAAUAGUUCUCUAGACCCCAACCCGUUUGAGAACAAAAUAUAAAAUUUAAAUUAAAAAAAAUAAAUUAACAUGCCAAGAACAUAAUCCUAAAAUUUAAUAUAAUAAUUCUGAAUCUAACAAAUUGGUGAAGUUGGAGAUUCAAGAUUUGGCAAUUUACAAAUAAACUAAUAGAUGAAGACAAAAAGUUGUGGCAGUGAUGAAGUUACUGAGUAUAAUAUUGGUUGAAGAAAGAGUUUGUCUAUGUAUUGGUUUAGCUUUGCACAUUCUUCUACCAUUAUAAGAAUCUCUUAAAGCCUGUAACAUUAUUUUUUUUUGGGACAGUAUCACACGUGUGAAUCUGGGCAGCACCACACGUGUGACAAGAAAAAUUAUCUCCCUUUCAAUAACCAAUCAAUCAUGUCAAUGCUUCAAAACUUAUUUUUAUUGGUGUAGUUGUUUUUUAAAAUUAAAAUAUCACAAGUAUCAAUUUAAUGACAACUUAUUAUAAUUUUUAUAAACCUAAUAUAUAAUAUAUCUUUUAUACCAGGUAGAACCAUAAAAUAAAAGUUAAGAUAGUUUUUUACCGUAAAAAAAUAAUUAAAAUCAAUAUAAAACCAAGUUUAAUUAAAUUUUAAGUCUUUUAUUAAUUCAGAUAUUUUUAAUUGAAUUAAAAAAAACAUUUGAUUUAAAAAGUGUUUAAAAAACUCACUUAUCUCUACAUUUUAAUAAAUAAGAAAUUUUGUAACUAAUAUUUAAAAUUGUAUUGGAUAACAAAUGACUGUGUCAUCAUUUACAUUAAUAGUGGUGACAAGAGUCUUUUGAUCAUGGUAAAUGAUGACAUGAAAGUUAUUAGUGAACACGAUAAUUUUGAACUGUGAUUAUCUUUUAUAUCAAUAGUGACGACGGCGAAAGUGUCUUAAUUAUUGUUCAUUGUUAUAUUUUUUCUAUUUGAACUUUUUUACAUACAAAUUUAUGAUUUAGGGUUUAGAAUUUAGGGUUAUUGCUCAUCCACAAACCCUAAACCCUACAAACUUUAAACUCUAAACCUUAAAACUUAAAUCCUAGAACAUAAAUCCUAAACUUUCCACCGGUAAAAAUCAAUAUCGUCCUCACUUGGAUCAAAUAAAGCUUUGAGUUCUUCAAUGUUAUCAAGCUUUUGAUCUAUACCCUAUUUUAUUUAAGGACACGUUUGUCAUUUGCAAAUAAAAAUCUGGUGGGGUGCGGGUGCAGAAAGUAAUUGUCUUUGAUGGAGUAACCGUUAGCCCAAAAUUUUGGAUACACAUUUCCUCCUUUUUAUUGGCCAUCUACUUCUAUUCCAUUGAAGAACAAAAAUAGAAUAAUGAAAUAAUUGAAUAAUAAACAGGAAUACUGUAUCAAAGUUCGUUAUUUAAUUAUCUGACACAAAUUAAAUAUCAAUAAAAUCCAUGUACACUUCUUAUUAAUAACUUAGUUAAAAAAACAAAAAUAAAUGUUAAAUAAGAAAAAUAUAUAAAAUAAAUUCGACCUUAGACCUCUUUAAAUUAGUGUCAUUAACUAAUUUAAACUAUAAAUUCUACAUUAGAUAAAAGUACAUUAAUUGAUAACUGAUAACAAAAUUGAAAAAUGAAAAUAUUAAAAAAAAUAUAUUUAUUUAGACAAAAUAUUCAUAUAUAGUUUUUUUUUUAUAAAAAAUUUUCAUGUUAGAUAUCACUAUUCAACUCAGUAAGACUGACCUGAAAUAAAAAAAAAAUACUCGUAUGAUUUAUGAUCAAUAUUCAUUUGCAACUUGAACUUGAUAUGAGGUUAUAAUAAUAUAUAAGUUUGAAACCUGAAAUGUAGUGUUUCUGUGAUUGGACCAAACCCUAGUUGAACACAUGUGUGGCAGAUGUAAGAAAUAUUAACAUAGGAGAACAAAGAUGUGAAACAUUUUGAUUUUGUCGUAUUAUUAAACCUUAUUGUUACGUAUAUUAUGUAACCCUAAUUCAACUUACUAUAUACUAUACUACUAUUGGACCAUUAUUAUUUUGGCCGGCUUUAAAUUGAUGAUGAUAGCAUUUUUAUUUUAUAUUAUUUUCAUCACCACAAUAAAUAAUAAAUAAUAAAUAAUCCAAUGCAAACCUUUUUCAUUAAUAAAAAUUAAAAAAUAAAUAUACAUGGAUAGUACGAAAGUCUUUAGUGUUCUAUCAUCAAAUUAUUAUGCAUAGUUUAUUAGGUUUUAUGACAAUUAUUUGAAAAUCAUGACAAUAACCUUUUUUCUAUUAUUAAUUUAGAGUGUAGAAAUAUCUACACUAACAAUCCAUGCGUGGAAUUUUAAUUUAAAAAACUAGUAGUUUUUUUUUAUGUCUAAUAAAUACAUAUAAUCAUUCAUGAUUAUUUUGUUAACAAUUUGAUUGGACUGUAAUUAUUAAUGAAAAAAUUAUUAUUAUAUUUUUAACAAUUCUUUUUCCUUGUCAACAUAAUUUAUUUAUUUAUAUAUAUAUAUAUAUAUAUAUAUAUAUAUAUACACACACAAAUACGCGCAUUUAUUUCACUAACAAAUAUUUGUUUAUAAUAAUUAUUUUAAUAUUUACGUAUAAAACACUUUUAAUUAAUUUAAUUUUAAAACUUAAGUGACAAUAAAAUGCUUAAAGAAACAAUAAUAUAGAUUGAACUUAUUUUUUCCAAAUUUUAAAAUACUUGUUCCAACAAACUUCUACCAUUCACAUCCCUAAAUAUUAGUUUAAAACAAUAUAAAUUAGUUUCAUUUGGAAGUAGAAAACACUAAAAAAUUAAACAUUUAAAGUUGAAGUUAAAAGAAUAACCAUUUAGAAAGAUUUUACCCUAUUAUUAUUGUUAUUGUCAUCAUACUUUUAGGCACCAACAAUGGCAAUAAAUAACUAUAAUUCAUAUUAAAACAAUGGUGAUAACCAAUUUGACAACAACAUUGACACAUCAUUCAUGGAGUAUAACUCAAUUCUCAAAAUAAAAUAUAUAACUAUGUUAUGCUAAGUAUUGUGAAAACUUUUUAAUUUGACCUAUAAAGAAAUAAAAAUUGUAAUUUUUUUAAUAAAAAGAAAAUGUUGAAAAAGAUAAUUAGGAGAGUAAAAAAAGUUAUAUAGAGAUGAGUAGCAGUGGGACAGGUGUAGAGGGUGCAAAAACACAAAUUCAAAUAUGCCUUUUGCAUGCAAGAUUUGGGUUAAGAAACUUAAAUUAACCUCAUAAAAGUUAAACUGAAUUAAGAAGAGAAAGAAAAAAGAUAUAAAAUAUUGAGAAGCAACAGAGCAGAAACACCUAUAGCAUUGGUCCACCACCAUCACCAUUCACCACCUCAAUUCAUCAGCAGAGGUAGCAGGGAAGGAAGGGACAAGAGAACGCAGCGUACCCUCUAAACCCUUUACAAGCAAAACAACAAACAACACACACCCUCUGUUCCCAGGUGCUUUUUUCUAUGUUUUUUUUUUUUUAAUUUUUUUUUUUCAAAUUCUCAUUCAUUUGCCGUUUUAUUGGGACCCCAUUUCCCCCUUUCGUUCCAGCAGGGCCUGGAAAUUCGUUCUGGGACUUAAAUGCCAGAUCUCGAUGGCAAUUGGCAAUUGGGGUUUCCUCUGAAAAAUUCCCACUUCGCAAAAACCUUUCUUUUUUGUUUUUAUCUUCGGUUGGGUGAAAAUUACUGCUGCCCUUUUCGUUGAUUGGUUGUGGGUGUUUGGGGUUUUCUGCAGUGGCUUUGGAUCGGUGAUUGGGAAAAUCUCGAGAAGCUUUGGUGUUUGCGGUAUUUUCUGGGAACAUCUCUCCUAGGUUUCGUUGUUUUCAAGGAACAAAAAAGUUAGACAAAUUUAUCGGCUUUGAUUGCCGAGGGUUUUUUGUUCUGGAGGAAACAAACACUUAUGCUUCCGGUUUUGUUUCGGUUUUCUGUUUUAUUCAGGUAUAAUACAAACACAACGGUGGCAUAAUGCCACCACUUUGUUAUGCCUGAUACGAGGUAAGCUUUUCGAUUUCUCUUCAACAUGGUCAAUUUUUUCUCUCUUUCUUUUAAUGUUUGCUGUGGAAAUAUGUUUUGAAGACUUUAUUUUGGAAUGAAAGCUCUUGUGUUUUGCUUUUUUUUUUUUUUUUUUUUCUGAAGCUUGUUCUGUGUUUUUGUUUGUUGGGUUGAGUUUAGGUUGGAAGGGGCUUGAGAAUGGCAGACACAAAUUCAGUUGAAGUGAUUUUGGAUUUUCUGAGGAGGAAUAGGUUCACCCGAGCUGAGGCGGCUUUGCGUAGUGAGCUCAGUAACUGUUCUGAUGUGAAUGGUUUCUUGCAGAAGCUUACAUUGGAAGAAAAGGACUUGCGUGGCGGGUUGCAGAAUGAUAAGGGGAAGCCUGUAGUAGAAAAUCAUGGGUUGGAUUCUCGUGACGGUGUUGAAGUUUCUAAAGAACUGAUUGUGAAGGAAAUAGAAUGUGGGACUGGUAGAAAUGCUGCAGAAGAAAGCAAAUGGAAAACUGUUGCUCCCACAGGGGAAAGGAACAAGUCUAGUGAAGUUGUUGGGACGAGUGAAAAAAACUUUACUUUCUCAAAGGGUUCGGAGGACAGUGUUCUUGAUUUGUACUCGUGGAAGUUUAAUCCCAGCAAUGGUCCUGUGGAACCUUACCAAAACGAUAGUGGAAGUAGACCGAGUAAUGCUUUGAAGGCCCCCAUAUCUCAACAAUCAAAGUAUCAAACUGGUGAAGCUCCUGAUGCAACCAACAGUAAUGUGAAAUCUGGGGAGGCAAAUAAUGUACCUGCUGAAAAGACAACUUUGUGGCUUGGAAGUAGUGGUAAAGCCUCUACAGAACCGAAGUAUGACUUUAUGCCUAAUAAAGAACCUAAGGAACAUGAUCUGCAGCUCAAAUUUAAUGCUUCAUCUCUUAAAGAGAACUUGAUAGAUAAUCACUUGUCAAGGACUGAUGAGAAUGUGAGUUCAUCUACAGAUCUAUGGAAAGAUUGUUCUGUGAAGACUGUUUUCCCUUUCUCAAAGGGGGAUAUGUCUACAAGCUACAACGGUUCAACUUAUUCUGACAGACAAGAGGAGAAGAGAAGGGCAGAAAAUGGUGAUGUCAUGACGUCAAUAAAAGAGCAAGUGGAUGAAGUAGGAAGAGCUCUUUACUUAGGAAAGUUGCAAGGCAGUUCUGGCAGCUUAAAUUUUCCUCUUGCACUGGAGAAUCCAAAGGAAGAGUUUCCUAGGCUUCCUCCUGUAAAAAUCAAGUCAGAAGAUAAGCCCUUGACUUUUAAUUGGGGAGAUAAGUUUGAGUCUGACGGACUGGCUGUGAAACUCGCUGGUGCCGACAACUCCUUACUUAUUGGGUCAUAUUUGGAUGUCCCUAUUGGACAAGACAUUAAAACUACAGGUUAACAUUUUGCAGUCAUUGUUAACUUAUCAAUUUUCUUGGCAUUUUAAUUAGUUGUUUACUCUUUGGGUCAAAUUUUCUGUUUCAUUUGUUUGUUUAUCAUGCUGAUAGUUUAGCAUGUUAAUUGGUAAUUUUCCUCUUUUUUGGCUUGUAUAUGUUCCUCUAAGAGUGAUCCUAUUUGGCUUCUUUCUGGUAUUAAGUUUGUAUGUUUGACAAGUGUUGAUACAUCAAGUUUUGAACUAGUACUUACCAUUUUGCCUGCAGUUAAAGAGGGUAAAGUUUAUGUUUGGUGUGGCCAUGAUCAUUGUGUUUACUUGACUUCAAUUCAACUGAUGAUUUGUCCAAUUCAUGCCAUGGAUUUUUUCUGCAAAUUUAAGUCUCUUGAAUGUUUGUGAUUUGAACUCCUAUUUCAAUGAUAUUUAGUUUGUGAAAAGAAUUAGUCGCCUUAAUGUCAACGAUCUCAUUUGUUCUUGUUAAAAAAUGUAUUGAUUUGGAAAAAGUAAUUUAAACAUUCAAUAUUAUCGUAUUUUGUCUUCUGAAACUUUUUCUUUGUCCUUUAUUAUCUGUUUCAGAUAGGAAGAUUUUCCCUCUUUGCUAAAUGACAAUGACAUUAAUGCUUUUGCUUGGGCUGUUUUGCCAGAAUUAACAUCAACAAUUUGUGCAUAUUCAAAUAUUGACUUUUUGAUAUAUUUUUCAGGUGUGAGGAAGGCUAUAGGGGGCAGUUGGCUGUCUGUAAGUCAAGGGAUUUCAGAGGAUACAUCUGAUCUUGUAUCAGGUUUUGCAACAAUUGGGGAUGGGUUGAGUGAAUCUCUUGAUUAUCCAAAUGAAUAUUGGGACUCUGAUGAAUAUGAUGAUGAUGAAGAUGUUGGGUACAUGAGACAACCCAUUGAGGAUGAGGCCUGGUUUUUGGCACACGAAAUUGAUUACCCCAGUGACAAUGAAAAGGGGACGGGGCAUGGAAGUGUUCCAGAUCCUCAGGAAAGAGGUCCAGCCAAAGAUGAAGAGGAUGAUCAAUCUUUUGCUGAGGAGGAUUCUUAUUUCUCUGGUGAGCAAUAUAUUCUACCAAAAAAUGUUGAGCCAGUCAUUUCAGAUGAUCCUAUUGGUCUAACAAUUACUGAAAUGUAUGGAAGAACCAAUGGUAACGAUGUAAUGACUCAAUAUGAUACACAACUGAUGGACGUUGAAGAACUGAAUCUGAUGCAUAUAGAACCUGUCAGGCAGGGCUUUGUCACUCACCAAAAUGAUCUUAUCAUGCUGGGAGAUGGGCAGGUUCUGAAUCAUAGUGCGAGGCCACGAAUUGAGGACAUGGAAGAUGAUCAGCACGGUUCAGUUAGAUCAAUUGGAGUGGGGAUCAACAGUGAUGCUGCUGAUAUUGGUAGUGAAGUGCAUGGAAGUUUGAUUGGUGGUAGUAGUGAGGGGGAUUUAGAAUAUUUUCGUGAUCAUGAUACUGUGCGCAGUGGCUCCAAACACACUCAUCAGGAUUUGGACAAGAGUUCUUUUAACAAAUCAGGAAAAAAUAACAAGAAAAAUGACAAGAAUGAAUCAAAUAAAUAUGUCAUAGACAGUGAUAAAGAUGCAUGCUCGCAGAUAAAAACACAUACUGAUGGGAACUUUUCAUUCCCUCAAUCUCUUAGAGAUGGCCAGAUGAUUUCGGCUGGCUCCAGUAAGUCCCUAUUUUCGAGUAAUUGUAAUGUAGAUGAAACAGAAGACUGUCUUAAUGCCUUUGUGGGCUCUGAUGACAUGCUUUCUUCUUGGAGGCGGAAGAGUAGUGAUUCUUCGCCUGUUAAAAGUUCUAGGGAUGAUAAUAAUGCUAUUGUGGUAAGAUCCAGAAACUCUUCUCCAACUACGGUCUCAAAUUAUGGGUAUACUGAUGGAGAGCAUGUCAAGCUAGAAAAGGAUGAAAAGAUAAGUGUGGUAAGGGAAGACGAUAUAGGUGCAUCACUAGAGGAUGAGGAGGCAGCUGCUGUGCAAGAGCAGGUAAGGCAAAUAAAGGCUCAAGAGGAAGAAUUUGAAACCUUCAAUCUAAAGAUCGUGCACAGGAAAAACAGGCAUGUUUUAAAUAUUUCAUUUUUACUAUUUUUGUUAACUCAACAAUGUAGUUGAGGAAAUUAGCACUAUAGAUUCUUUUAUGAUAAUACAAUAUAGAAGUUUAAAACUAUUGAAAUAUGGUAUAAGCUUUGUAAAUCAUUCCAAUUUCUUUUUAACUUGACAACUAUUCAUUCUAUCUCUCAUCACUUGUGAAUUCCUAUUAUAUUAAUUGAUUUGUGUCACAGACAUCUUUAUGAAACUUUAGACACAUGGACAUUCGUAAUAGUAAAUGUAAACAACAUUUUGUGAACAUUUGGUUCUGUUAACAAUGGAAAAUAAACAUUACCAUGACAACAAAUCUACUAUUUCCCUUUUUGAAAUCUCCACCACUUUUAUAAAAUUUGGAACAGGGUAUAUUUUAUGAUUUGUGUGAAAAACAUGCAUUAUUUGUCAUUUUAUUUGUCGUGUACAUCUCUUUGUUCCUUCAUUAGUAGUCAUGAAAUUAACUCAAUCAAAAUGUCUGUGUAUAAUAAUGCUGUCUUCUUAGUUGGUGCUGUGCUUGAUCAUUUAAUUGCAUGCUCUAGACUUGUUGAUAAUUGUUGCAAAUACCUGAAGUUGUUUUAAUCCUGUUAUUCUUACAUUUUGUGAGACGAAGCUACUGUUAUGGGUACAAUAUAACAUACAUGUCUUGAUAAUUCUCUAUGAAACUUAUUGUUUAGAUGGUAAGAUUCUUUCCCCCAUCCCAUGGAAAGUUAUAUGCUGAUGUGUACAGAGCUUUAGAAGUGUUAACUUUUGUGCUAUGUUAGGAGGCCACCAUGAGAUUGUCAUUUUAGAUACUAAUCUUAUGUUGCAAAGUCAGCAUUCUUCUUGUUCCUUUUGACCGUUUGGCAUGCUAACUGAACCCAAUUCUUGUUGCUCAGAACUGGCUUUGAGGAGGACAAGAAUUUCCAUGUUGUUUUAAAUUCUGUAAUAGCUGGGCGCUAUCAUGUCACCGAGUAUCUUGGAUCUGCUGCAUUUAGCAAAGCUAUACAAGCUCAUGACCUGCACACAGGCAUGGAUGUCUGUGUUAAGAUUAUAAAGAACAACAAAGAUUUCUUUGACCAAAGCCUUGAUGAGAUCAAGCUUCUUAAGUAUGUCAAUAAGCAUGAUCCUUCAGACAAGUUCCACCUUCUAAGAUUGUAUGAUUAUUUCUAUUAUAGAGUAAGUGAUUUUGGAUGUGCUAUUGUUUUACUUAUUAUUAUUAGUUUUUUUCUUUCAAUCAAUAGUUGAUUUAUGCAUAUUUCUGGGUACUAUCAAGAGUCUAACAUCCAUGAAUAGGUAUAGUUUAUUUUGGAUGCUAAUGGUUUUUGUUUGUCACUUUCUCUAUAUUUAUGUGCACUAUGUAACGAUAACACAUUUGUUGAUUUGUCAUUUUUAACUAAAGCCAUUGAACUUAAUGUUUAUAGCUCUGGCAAGUUUCAAUACUUUCCAGGAUUAUGAUAUUUAGUAUAACUAUCAGCACUGCCUUCAAAUUUUAAAAAUUUAAAUCUGGCCUAACCUUUUAAUCGAUAGUCAAAGUGAUAGCGAUAAAUAUCUGUUAUCAUCUGACUUUACUAUCUCUUGUAAUGCAGGAACACUUGUUAAUAGUAUGUGAACUGCUUAAAGCCAACUUAUAUGAGUUUCACAAAUUUAAUCGAGAAUCAGGGGGGGAAGUUUAUUUCACGAUGCCAAGGUUGCAGGUUUGUGGUGUGCUGUUUGUAAUAGAUCUAUAGUUUUCAUCCUUUCUGCUAGUAUAACACUGUCAUUAUAAACACUUUUCAACUUAUGUGUGCAGUCCAUCACCAUUCAGUGUUUGGAGGCACUUCAGUUUUUGCACAGUCUUGGACUAAUACAUUGUGACUUGAAGCCAGAGAAUAUUUUGGUUAAAAGCUAUAGCAGAUGUGAAGUGAAGGUUAUUGAUCUCGGAAGUAGUUGUUUUGAGACAGAUCACCUUUGCUCGUAUGUUCAGUCCAGGUCUUAUCGUGCUCCUGAGGUUAUUUUGGGGCUUCCAUACGACAAGAAGAUUGAUAUCUGGUCACUUGGAUGCAUCUUGGCAGAACUUUGUACGGGCAAUGUAAGAUCAAUGUUAUGCAUUUCAAAAUGCUAUGAAGUUUUUCAUACUUGAAGCGUUCAAAGAUUUACUCCAAAUUUCCUGUGGGAAGUACAUAAAAUAAUAUAUCCUUAACUUGUGCUUAAAGCAAAUGACUAUACGUCUAAAUCUCCCUAAUGAUGGAUCUUUGGAACCUGAUAUAAGCUUUAUCUCUUAUAUUGAAGUGCAUUUUUUUCUUUGUUGAAUACAAAUACAUGCAUAAUACUCUCUUUUCUCACUCAACCAUGUGUGAUACAGGUCCUCUUCCAAAAUGAUUCUCCUGCAACAUUACUUGCUCGGGUGAUCGGGAUCAUUGGCCCAGUUGAUCAAAGUUUACUUGCCAAAGGACGUGAUACAUAUAAAUACUUCACAAAAAAUCAUAUGCUUUAUGAGCGGAAUCAGGUGAGAACAUCAUUUCUAAUUUUCUUAGUAUUUGAAUGAAACAGAUUUGUGUUAGGUAAUCUGAAGUCUUGAUGCUUAAGGAAAUGUACCUUCCUACUUGUCUUUAAACCUAGAGAGAGGUUCCUAUGUUUCUAACGAAGUAUUUUCUAUCAUCUAUAUUAUUUUUACCACUUCUGAAACUUUGGCUUUUAACUGAACCAAAUGAUAUCAUGUGAUCCACAUCUUCUUGUUCUCACCCACUAUAGUGCUUCUACCACACUAUUUAUUCUCUUCCUAUGCUAAAUUAAAGUACCACCAUUACCCUUUUGCAUUUUACUUUCUUCAAAUAAUUUGACAGUACUAUUCAUUAAUGAUACACAGGAAAGCAACAGGUUAGAAUACCUGAUUCCAAAAAAGACCUCAUUGAGGCAUAGAUUACCAAUGGGAGACCAAGGCUUCAUCGACUUUGUUGCCCAUUUGCUCGAGGUUAACCCAAAGAAGCGACCUUCUGCAUCUGAGGCCCUGAAGCACCCAUGGUUAUCAUACCCUUAUGAACCAAUAUCAUCUUAAAGAAUUUGCAGAUUUUCUCUCUCUCAGUGAUAAUGCGUCGAAUUACCCUAAGCCGGGUAAGUUAAGUUGUCGAAAGGGAAAGGCACCACCAUACAUGCUUGCAGCUUUUCAUUAUCUAUUUUAGAGAUGAUAUGGAAAGAGUUGUGCACUUUCACAUUCCUGCAUGAUUGAUGAUGCAUUGAAAGGUGUUUGGUUUUGUGGGUAAUACUCGUCUUUCCCAUCAAUGAUGUAAUUUAGCAUGUAAGAUGUAAUGUUAUUAUGCUGUUGAUUUCUUUUCUUUGGUUGGUCUUGUUGAAAAGGGAAUCCUUGAAAUAUUGAUUGUACAUGAUGUGGGAUAAUUCAUUUAGUCAUUAGUAGUAUUUUUAGCAUGUUUGGUUUCACGUUGCGGAUGUGAUUUUUAACGUUAAUCAGAAGCUAAUAGGCUAUAGCUUCUACGUUCCAGAUGAGUUUCCAAACACGCAGUUUGUGACAUAGCACUUAUUAGAUUUUGCAUGAGGUUUGAUAGCACCGUUGGAAGCACCAGUUAAAAGAAAAGCUGGUGGCAAUUGUGUUGCAAAUUUUCCUUUACCUUGUGUUGGAAGCAACCAAAGUGUAUCUUGAUGGUGUUGUGAGCUUCAUAGUGGUAGCAAAUGAGUUCAACAAAGUGUGGUAAUGGCAUCUUCAGGAAUGUGGUUAUUAAGCAUUUUGGUGCCUUUGGGCAACAGAACUUCUGAAGUUGCUGUUCCUUUCUCUUGUUUCUUCUUAGUAUCUUCCAUCAUUCUUGCACCGACCUAUGUGUUCUUGUUUAACGUUAUUUUCUUUGUAAAUAUCCUCUUUGCUGUAUAAUGUUACUUUCAAUGUUUGUUUUUCUCUUCAAAAGUAAUUCUUGUUUAUAUAUAAUAUAAAAAAAUGAAAGAAACACAUUUUUAAUGUAAAUAGACAAAUUUUUAAAACUUAUUCAACGAGUUUUCCUUGUGAUUUUGCAGUUUUUAGCAUUGUUUAAUUUAUAAGUGUUAGAAUGUGUGCAUUAGAAAUCACUUUGUGAAUAUUCUUCUGACUAAGCUCAAGGCUAAAAUUUACGUGUAUGUAGUUGAAAGAUAAUUUAGAUCUAUAUUUUGAAAUAUGUGAUUCAAAAUUAUAUAAUUUUGUUUGAAUUAUAUAAUUUAAAGUAUUGUUUUGGAAGAAUUAAUUUAAAAUCAUACUUUAGAUUAUGUAAUUAUAUCUUGGAUCAAUUUUAAUAUUAUGGAGGUGAGAAAAGAAAAUAGAGGUGGAGAUUUGUAAAGUGUGUGUUUUUUUUUAAUUUUGACUUACAAUACUUUUUUUGUGAUUUUAGUUUUUACAUUUUAGAAAAUUCAUGAUCUCAGUAUAAUUUUUAAUUUUAUAUAUGCUUUUUAUUUUUAUUUUUAUAAUUAACUAAAUUAUUUCUUGAUGUUACCUCAGACGAAUAUCUUAAAUCUAAGAUUCGAUUUAAAACCAAAUAAAAGAAUUAAAUAUAUUUAAAAUUAUAGAUCGAAUAAAAUUUAUGAAUUUUUUAAUCUUAUAUUAAAAUUGAAAAACAAAAAGUAAGAGGAUCAAAUUGAAAAAAAAAAGAAAUUAUAAUCCAUCACAAUGGAUAUAACCUCUUUUUAUUUGUUACACAAGCAACUGUGCUAUAUUUUUUACUUUUGAAUAUAUUAACUAUAUUGUAUUUUUGAAAUUGUUAUAAAAAAAGUUAUAUAUAAGUGGUUUAACAUGUUAAAUUCAAUGUCAUCUUUUGUUUGUGUAUUAUUUGAGCUUAAUCUUUGCUGAGAACUUAAAUUUUAUUUAUCUCCUAAUUGAAUUAGAAUAAUUUUAAGUAGAACUCUUAUAAGUUAUUAAUAAACAACUAUGGAAGAAGAAUAUAAAAUAAAUAAAUCUAUCUCGUAAGUUUAAAUUAAGUACUCUUUCAUUCAUCGUCCAACGCACAUUAACUUAAAAAUUAGGAAUAUAACUGUUUGAUUAAAUUACAUUAUUCUAUUAAUUCUGUUCAUUUUAAAAUAUUUAAUUUGAUAAUCCAAUUUUUAGUUGUCUUGCCAUCAACUCACAUCAACAGGUUAAAAAAUCAAACAAAAAGUAUUUUUUUAAUAUAAGAAUGAAAUUAAAUAUUUUAAAAAUGGAGAGAUUAGUUUAAAUAAUAUAUAAAUAAAAAGGAAACGAAGAACAAUUUGAUUAAUUUGGUUGAAUAUGAGGAAAGACUUUAUUAUUGAAGUUAACAAGUCAUUAAUUCAAAAAGGAAAAAUGGAAUAUGAUGAAGAGAUGAAAUAUUCAUAAAAUACAACAUGUCACUAAUUUUAUACAAUAUAUUUUAUUUUUUUCAAUGUCAUAUAAUUUUCAUCAUUACAUACUCCUUUAAAUAAAUAUUUGACAUUAAUUUUUUCAAAAAUUUAAUUAAUUUUUAAUUAAAAAUAACAUAAUAAAAUAAUUAACUUUUCGUCAAUUUAUACUAAUAAGCAUUAUUAUACACUUAGUCUAAAUAAUAACACUGUAAUGUAGGUGCACUAAGAAAAAAGAGAGGUACAGUAAGAAACUAUCGGAUAUUCAUUUAAAAAUAGACCCCGACCCAUUGGCCCAUUUCCAGUCCAACACUCCUGCUACACUGUUUUACUUUCUAUCACGUUUCGGACACUAUCAUUUCUUCACAUAUCUCCGUCGUUCAAAUUUCAAAAUGGAGCAAAACCCGCCGUCGGCGGCGGAGGCGGCGCCGUCAUCCGACGAACAAAAGCCUUCCUUAUUCCCUCUGUUCCCAUCCUCCUCCUCUCUCCAAACCACCACCACUUCUUCGACUCCUCAAUGGCUCUGCAACUCUAGCUUCACCACCGACCUCUCUGUCAUAAACGAUGCCUUCGCCUCUCAAAUCAACCGCGAAACCAGUCUAUCUCCGCCACAAAACGACGAGGACGAUGAAAAUCAUGCUGAGGCGCAUCCCCUCCCUUCUCGGUACGAGAUUCUGGAAUCUUCUGAAUCCGACGGAGGCGGAAGGGACAGAGAGAGGAAGAAAAGGAAGAAGAAGAAGAAGCGGAGGCGUGAUUCGUCUGCGGAGAGAGGCGGAUUCGACGGUUUUGGUUCGCGGAAGUCCCGUGUUCGAGUUUGGGCAGAUUCAGACAACAACGUUACCAAAGAUUAUUACUUUGAUUCUAACGGAGAUCGCGAUAAUCUGGCGUUUGGAUGCAUCUAUAGGUAUUUUAGAUGGAAUAUUUUGAAAUGGGAUUGAAUUUAAUGAUUUAGUUGUUGUUGGAUACCAAUGGCUUCUCAAUUGUUGCUUGGCAUGUAUUCAUUUAUAUGCAUCUGUGAAGAAUUGACGUUUUCGUUAUAAAUAGUGAGUUUUAGCUGUGUCUCAACGGGGACUAAAGAGGGAGUUUAGGUAGAGAUUGCGUUAAUGUGGCCUAAAAAUGAAAGAAAAUCACUUAUUGGAGUAGAGAAAGAAACGGGGUAGGCAAUUAAUGUCGUUGUUGUUCUUAGACUUCAGAAAUUUAGGGAUUUAUGUGAUGUGGCACAGAAAGGUAGUUUAGUUCCUGUUGAACUUUGACAUCUUGUUCACAGGUUGUCCCUGCUUCACUUCCUUUACAAACUGAUUAUGGGUUCAUGGUUAUUAUUUUUUGUUUCAUUAGUGAUGAAUGACAAUUCUUUGUAAAUACUAUGCAGAAUGGAUGUUGCCCGAUACAAAUCUUACAAUCCCUUGAAACUGUCUGGGCUACAUACUCGAGGUUUGUAUUGGUGGAAUAGGACGGGUUCACUCUGGGAUAGAGAUGGUGAUGUUGAUGCACUAGAUGCUAAAAUGAAGUCUGCUGGUCGUUACUGGUCUGGAAAGUAUAUGGCUUUGGAGAAACAUAAGAGCUUUAAGCGUAUUCAUCUUGUUGCUCCAAAACUGUCUUCUGUCACUAUGCAAGAUGAGUUUAUACCUUUAUCUGAAUCAGAUGCUGGGGCAUCUCAUGGAGCUGUUGACAGUGAUUCUGUCUCCAAAACUUCAGCACUGCUUGAAGAAUCUUGGGAAGAUGAAAUGUUAAACAAAACUAGGGAGUUCAACAAACUAACAAGGGAACACCCCCAUGAUGAAAAAGUUUGGUUAGCUUUUGCAGAGUUCCAAGAUAAAGUUGCAGGGAUGCAGCGGCAGAAAGGUGCUCGAUUGCAAACCCUUGAGAAGAAGAUUAGCAUUCUGGAGAAGGCAGUUGAGCUUAAUCCAGACAAUGAAGAGAUAUUGCUUUGCCUUCUGAAAGCUUAUCAGGUGAGAGACAGCUCGGAUGUGUUAAUUGCAAGAUGGGAGAAGAUACUUUUGCAACACUAUGGUAGUUGUAAGUUAUGGGGAGAAUUCUUGCUCACAGUUCAGAGAAAUUUCUCCAGAUUCAAGGUUUCAGAGGUCAGGAAGAUGUACGUACAUGCAAUUGAAGCUCUAUCUGCUUCAUGCAGCAAGCACUCUAGGCAGGUUCUCAACAUUUAUGCUUUAUCCUCUUUUUUGGUUUGUCUGCAAGAGUGAAUAUUUUCAAUUUAUUUUUAAUGUAUCUUCUUGAUUGCACAUGCGAUGUUAUUUUCUAUUUAGUGAAUGACCUGAUCCUCAUAUAUAGUUGCACUGGGAGAGAGAAAACUGAAGGAGGGAUCCUGUUCACCAAGCAACUACUUUUCCUUAACUUUUUACUUCCCUCUUUAAGUGGUUGGAAUUUGAAGGCAAGGGAAUUCAUGGUCUUAGAAUAAAACUUAUGUACAAGCAUUUUAUGCGCUGUAUGAACAAACAAAGUUGAAACAUCCUUUCAUUUUUGCUUUCAUUUUGAAGGUGUAUAAAGUAGUUGCUUUAUACAUCAUAGGUCACAGAGAUAAAAUGUUAGAACCAAACAACUUGACAUCAUUUGUGUGACCGUUUUCACGUAUUAAUUUAAUAUCUAGUGAAUAUUUUGUGAGAUCUUGAAAUUGUUCUAACAGGAAGCAUGAUUUGUUUUUAGCAGGUUCUUCAAGAUGCUGACCCUUCUUCACCAGAUCCUGCAUUUGUUCAGUUAGAACUUGGUCUUGUGGAUGUAUUUCUUAGUCUUUGCAGAUUUGAGUGGCAGGCUGGUUAUAGAGAAUUGGCCACAGCUUUAUUUCAGGCUGAAAUAGAGUUUAGCUUGUUUUGUCCUCCUUUGCUGCUCACUGAGCAGGGUAAACACAGACUGUUUGAGCAUUUUUGGAACAGUGGGGGUGCUAGAGUUGGGGAAGAAGGGGCUCUCGGUUGGUCCACAUGGUUGGAGAAAGAGGAGGAAACUAGGCAAAAAGUUAUAAAUGAGGAGCUCUCACGUGAAAAUGAAGGUGGUGGUUGGACUGGUUGGUCAGAACCUAGGUCCAAAGAUAAUGAGGGUAUUACUAUAGUUGAAAAUGAAGACAACAAUGAUGUGGUUACAGGGGAUACUCAAGAUGAAGAGGAAUUUAAUGAAGUUGAGACAGAAGUUGAUACUGAGAAUUUUCUGAAGAUGCUGGGUAUAGAUAUCAAUGAUGGGGAUAGUGGUGAAGUUAAUGACGCUUCAACUUGGAUCAAAUGGUCAAAAGAAGAGUCUUCUAGAGAUUGUGAUCAGUGGAUGCCUGUUCAUAGGAAAUCAAGUAGGAUCAUCUCUCGUUGCAUUAACUACUAUCCUUCUCUCUAAAUGUACUUUUUGUGUGUGCAUGGCUUUUCUUGAAUUUUGCUUUAUUGCUUUGAAAGAAAAUUUAAUUUUAUUACAAACAAGCUAUUUAUACAAGUGUGCUACAUAACAAUGAACAGAUACAACCUCUCCUGCUAGUGAGGCGCAGAAGACAGAUGAGGAUGAGCAACUCUUGAGAGUUGUAUUGUAUGAAGAUGUGAAUGAAUACUUGUUUUCCCUAAGAACAACAGAGGCUCGACUAUCGUUGUUGUACCAAUUCAUUGACUUCUAUGGUGGGAAGAUGUCUCAAUUGUGAGUUUUCUAACAUAGAUACCCUUUGUGCACCCUAGUUGAUGGUGGGAAUCAGUUUUUUAAAAGCUAGGAUGGAUUAGUAUAUGCUCUAGUAUACUAAUUGGUUAGGAAUCCAAUGUGCCAUGCUAGUUCGUUAACACAAAAUAGUUGGUUAACACAAAUGUGUGUUGCUAGAGUUACAAAUGCUUUUAGUGGCUCAAUCCUUCCGUGGUGAUUUAUUGCUUACACUUAUUCAUGUUAUUUGAAUUGAUGCCAUUGGUUUUGUAUCUUCUUUCUUUUGUAGGUUUUGCUCCAAUAGCCCAACAAUGGCAUACAGUAUCCGUAGUUUGGAGAAUCUGCCAGAUUCUAUGUUAGAGAAGUUGAAACGCAUACAUGAAGUUUUGACUAAAACACAGAAUAGUCCUACUGGUUUCAGUUUUGAUUUCCUAUCCGACAGUUUCUCAAGGAAUGCUGAUAUUAUGAAAUUUAUACGGAAUGCUGUUUUACUUUGCUUAACCGUUUUCCCACGUAAUUACAUGUUGGAAGAAGCUGUUCUUAUUUCUGAAGAGCUAUAUGUUACAAAAAUGAAUUCUUCUAACAGUAUGGUUACACCAUGUCGAUCUUUAGCAAAAUCUCUUCUAAAAAGUGAUCGACAGGUAUUGAUUUUCGUUGCUCUCUCUCUUGCUCCUUUUUUGUAAGAUAAAUGAAUGUGUUUAGCAAAUCUUUAGUAUCUACAACUAUAUCUAUUAAAAUGUUGUGAAAUAUCUAAAUUGAUAUUUUCAUUUAUUAUAUCUUUCAAUGUUUCUGUUACCAAAAUAUUUUCUUGCAAGUGCAGAACUGACAUUUUUGAAAUUUUAUUUGAAAACAAUAUAUGAUUUAUUUCUGUUCUGAUUAUUUAAAUUGCUGUGAAGGUGUCAUGGAUGAAAGGAGAGGCCAAAUGGAAUAAUUUUUAGUUUGUUGUGAUGAUUUUACUUUAGAGAUUUUAUAGUAGUUUUGGGAUAUAAAUCCUUGUAGGAUAAGAAGAUAUGGCUUAAUUAAGUUUUAAGCCACUCAUAACUUUAUGCAUUUUCAAUUGAGUUCAUAGAUUCUUUUUGUUUUAUUGAGUACUCAAAAAUUUUAUAGUUUCCAAUUGAGCCUUGCUUUUUUAGUUUUUUUUGUUAAGUGGGUAACAUAACAUAACUGUUAUCCUGUCCCAUCAUCUUGCCUGUCUCUAUGUACUAAGAAAUGUGAGGUUUUGUGAUUGAUACAAAAUGAUAUUGCCGUUAAUGUAAAAUGACAAGUGACUUUUAUUGCUUUAACUGAAAACGUAUUGGAUUACAAGGUUGUCAUGUUCCCCACUGGCUUUUCUGUCAUCAUCUACUGCGACCAAGGGACCGUUGCUAUCACCACCAUUGAUGUAGGUGACGGAGAGAGUCCUUGUUAUCCAAAAUGUUUUCAAUAAAAACAAUAAAAGUCACGUGUCUUUUUAUAUUAAUUGGAAUAUCAGUUUAUAUUAACCACAAAGUCUCCCUUUUUUAUUACAUCGAGUAAGCAAGAUGAUGGGACAAAAUAACAAUCACAUCAUCCAGUUAGUAAAAAAGUUAAAUUGUAGAGACUCAAUUGAAAAAUAUAAAUUUUUUUAGUACUCAAUAGACCAAAAACAUUUAAUAGAGACUUAAUUGAAAAUACUCAAAUUUAGGAGGAAUUUGAAAUUUAAUUAAGCCAAAAGAUAAUUAUAUUCUUGUUGGAGACCCCUAUUAAGUAGUUAUGGAGAGAAAAUAAAAUGAUGUUGUGUUUUAAUGUUUAGAAGAGAAAAAGGUGCCAAUAGAGACAACUUUAUGCAUGAGCACAAAAUAAAACUGAGGUACCUAGUGACUAGAAUUAAAUGGUACCUUGCUGCUAUUCUAUCAUUUAUUAGGAAAUGAACAAAGAACUAUUUUUCUAGGAUUAAGAUUUACAUUUCAUUCUAUUGAUCUUAUUCUUUGUUAUGAUAUGUUUGCUUCUCAGAUUAUUUUAUUCUUUUUAUUUGGUUAUUGUAGGAUGUAUUGCUAUGUGGUGUAUAUGCACGAAGAGAGGCUACUUAUGGUAACAUUGAUCAUGCAAGGAAAGUGUUUGACAUGGCAUUGUUAUCUGUAGAAGCGCUUCCUGUGGUAUGCUUAGUUUUAUUGCUUAAAUGUCACUUUUUAUUUUUGGUGAGAGAUUCUUUGCUAACUCUUUUUGUAUGGCAAUUUGAAACACAUGCUACCCUUUAAAUAGGAUUUCUCUAUCAAAUUUCUCUUUCUGUCAAUUGUUUUCUCUUUUUUUAGGAUUCCGUGACCUCCUUUCCCUUUUUGAUAUUAUCUCUAUAUUAACAAGUCUUUUUAAAGGAAAAAAAGAUACGUGAAGUAAGCAUGUUUGCUUUUACAUUGUGUUUGGUUGGAGGGGAGUAAGGCAAGGUUUUUUCUAAAAAUAAUUUGUUUGGUUCAAAAAAUUGGAGGGAAGGUAAACAAGGGAUUCAAUACCCCUCCCCGUCUUUUUCUCCUCUCCAAUAUUGAGGGAUUUGGACGGGAGGGAAAAUACUUGAAGUUUCUGGACUGUACUGACUAAAUUAUCUUUAGUGUGAACUUUAAAGGCCUAAUGGUUUUAUUCAUCAAUUAUAACAGCACAAUAGAAAUUUACCAAAAUUUUCCCCACCUUUGAAGUUUGAACUAAAAAUAAACAACAGUGGGUACAUUGCCCAAUUAAAGAUAUGGAGGAUAGCUAACCUACGCAUAAAGGUGAAAUAGUUAGCAUGCUAUGCAUAUAUGUACAAUAACGUCCAUGUGUGCUACAAAAUUGUAGCACUAGCAUUCUGAUAUGUACUUGCAUGUGUGUGUUGUCCCUAAGAUUUUGUGUCUGUGUGUUCAUUCUUAUACAAAAAAAAGGAUCAUAUGAUACAGUUUUUUUUUUUGUAGUUUUUGAAGAAUAAACUAUUUUUAGCCUUUGAGAAAAACACUAAAACAAGUUUCUGCUUUUUUAAAAAACUUACAUAACAUAGUUAUUAUACAUUUUUUUUUGAAACAAAUCUUAUAAUUAAACUUAGAAAAAAGCACAAACUAACAAGCCUUUUGUUUUUUAAUUAAAUAGCUUUAAUACAGGUUUUUUAUGUCACAAAUUCUGCCUGAGUUUUUGUUCUUUUUGAUGAUUGCAUUUUCACUUUAAUGGAGUAGGAACUACAGUCCAGUGCUCCUCUUCUAUAUUUCUGGUAUGCUGAGGUGGAGGUUGCAAAUAACUCUGCUGAUGGUUGUGAGUCUUCAUGUCGUGCAAUACAUAUAUUAUCAUGCUUAGGAAGUGGUACAAAAUACAGCCCAUUUAAAAGUCAAGCUUCAGGUGUGCAACUGCUUAGAGCACAUCAAGGAUUUAAAGAAAAACUAAGAACAGUAUGGUCAUCUUGGGUUCAUGGUGUAAUAAAUGACCAGUCUGUAGCUCUAAUAUGUUCUGCUUCCCUGUUUGAGGAGCUGACUACUGGAUGGGAUGCGGGUAUUGAAGUUUUGAGUCAAGCUUUUUCAAUGGUGCUUCCAGGUUAUGCCUCUUCAUAAUGGAUAUUCUCUUUAGAAAACAUGGGACAUUUAAGACAAGUGUUAUUUUAAAGUUCAAAUAGAUGUUCUUAAUUUUUCUUAACAUUAUCCAAUCUUCCCCAUGACGGUCUUUGUCAUUUUUGUUGGUAACUGGUGGAAACUAUAAUUAUACUAUUCAGACAUCCAAAACUUCUAAGUCCACAUUUUGAACAUGAUGUUAUUUGUAAAUAUUAAGUAAUUUUUUUUUGGUUGCUCUCUUUUGGGGUGGUAGGAUUGCAUGGAAUUGAUAUUUGCUGUAUCUUGAUCUCUGUUGCAUGGCUAUUCCUCCUAAAUGUUAUUAUUUCAGUUUGACCUGUAGACACAUGGAUAGAUUUAAAAUACGUUUUUUGUAUCUUCGAUGGAAAGGAAUUUAACAUGAUUGCAAUUGAAACAUGGUAUGUAAUAAAUAAUAUUUCUAUUGGCCAAGAAACGCACAGGAAGUGCAAUGCCAUGUACUAAAAUGCUCUGAUAUAGUAUCCUGUAGAAGCAGUUUGUAAUGUCGCCUGUCUUUACUGCUUCAUAUUUGGUAUUUAUGAUGUGAAUCUAAUGCUUGCAACCUGCAGAAAGAAGAAGUCAAGGUUAUCAGCUUGAAUUUUUGUUUAACUAUCAUAUAAAGAUGCUUCAAAGACAUCAAAGAGAAUCAAGUCUCAUGAAAGUUUGGGAAUCCAUCUUGCAUGGCCUCCAGAUAUAUCCCUUCAGUCCUGAACUUCUAAAAGAUGUAGUGGAGGUCGGCAAUUAUUACACAACAUCUAAUAAAUUGCGGCGGAUUCUAGAUGACUGUUGUUACAAGUAUGUUCCUUUUCCAUAUAGCUUCAUGAUUUUUUCAAAGGAUGUCAUGGUCUGAUUAGACAGAAAUUUCAAGACAAUAAUAUUGCAACUCGAAAGAUUUUGAAAUUUUGAAAUGGUUUCUUACCCGGGUCAACAAGCACAAGUUAAUUGCUUUUCUUAGGGAAGAUGUAGACCAUUAAUGAAAGUUGUAACUUUUAUCCAACAAGUGAAUUUAAGCUUAAAAUUAGACUUAUGUUACUACUAUAAUGUAUGUUUAAUUUUUUUAAAGAAAAUUGACAUUCAAAAGCUAUUCUAGGAACUUUAUGUGAAAUAUAAAGUGCAGCCCUUUUUUUCCCUGUCAUAUCUUGUUUUGAUCUCAAAGGAAGGAGCCCCUUCUAAGGCAAUGUACUUUCUCUCUCUGCCUGUUGAAAGCAAGAAAUUGGUUUGUUUGUUAAAUUUUUAGCUUUCUACUUCCAAGCAUUACACUAUGAUGUUGUAAAGAGUGCAAGUGGAGUGCUUAAAAACUCUUCGAAGGUUUUGUACAUUGAAGGUUGUUGUAAUUUAGAAGUCCCCCUCCCCUUUUAAGGUUCUAAGUAAUCUAUUUCUCCCUCUAUUUAAAUAGCAGUAAUAUUUGCUUUGUAGACCCGAUAUACAAAUCACUUUUUUUAUGAUAAAUAUUUUAUAUCCUCUUAUUUUAGAUUCAAAUUUCCUUUUUAUUACUGUUACAGUUUUACACGUGUUUUCUGUUUCCACAUAAGUAUAUGUAUGGUAAUUUCAAAUGUUCUAGUUGGUUUGUGCAAAUUUUCUUGGUUAUAAACUAAGCAAUAAUUUGUUCUUUUGUGGUACAUUCUCAGGAAACCAUCUGUAGUUCUCUGGCUUUUUGUGUUGUCAUUUGAAAUGUUUAGAGGUGGUUCACAACACCGAAUCCGUAGAUUGUUCGAAAAGGCAUUGAGUAAUGACGGUCUUAGCAGCUCAGUUGUACUGUGGCGUUGCUACAUUAUGUUUGAGAUGGAAAUUGCAAAUGAUCCUUCUGCAGCUCGUCGUGUUUUCUUCCGUGCUAUCCAUUCCUGCCCCUGGUGAGAACUAUGUUUUAAAUGAUUGAAUGAUAUUUCCUUUGUAAAUUGAGUUUGCCACAGUCGAAGCUGAAAACAAUCCACUUGGGUGUUUAGAGUUGGAGUGUCGUGUACCUCAGCAGUAUAGCCCAGAAGUACAAAACAGGGUGAAAGAAAAAAAAGCAUUUACCGAAAAAUUGUUGUUGGGAAACAAUUUACAAAAGUAGGUGAUUUGCAUGAGAAUUUUUUGGUUAAGCCAAAGUACAUGGCAACAUAUAGGGUUGUAAUCUUGUCUCCGUCCAAGCUGCCAACAUGACUUUAUAGCCUACUCAAAUGUGACACAGAAAGUAGAAAGUAUUGGUUUUUUAGUUGGCGACUUCAGAAGGAAGUUAGUCAAUCAUUUAGCGACACCAAUUAGUCAUAUUUAGUUGGUUUUUAAUUUGUGGUCACCAAAUAGUGAUGAUAUUUCAAAUUGAUGCUUUACGCAACCUAAAAUAAACAAUUAAUCCUAGAUUAAAUUUAACAAUACACCAAUGGCAGUGUAGUUAAUUUUCAUUAAAGUAUUGUUGUGUUUUGGUUUAGUUUUUAUUUUAUUUCUUCUAGUGUAAAUCCUCCAUACCCGAGGUCCAUCUCUUUGGCCUGUUAAUAAUGAACCUCUUUCAAAAUCUGACAGAUUACAGUUUUGUGUCACUUUUGUCUGUUAGCUUACGGGGCACCUGAUCCUGUUCGACCAUCUCUUAUAGCCUGUUUGUUUAACAAACCAAACUCGGUUUAGAGAAUAAAGCACUAACUCUCUGACUUUCUUUUUCAAAAACACACUUUUUGGUAGCAGGCAGACGUUUCAAAUGCAUAAAAUAGACGCAUAAGAGAAAUCAGGUCUAUACACCUUACUUAUCUUCAAGACUCUACCCUAUUGAUUUUAUCUUGAAAUCCAUACCUUAAAGCAGGAGUCUUCUGGAACUAACACUUCCCAGAAACGUGAUAUAGAUUUAACAGAUCCAAAAAAAUGGAAAUUUUCUAUCAGGCAAUACUAUACCUUGUGAUAACUUGAUAUCUCAAGUUACAUUUACACGUCUGCCUUUUUGCUGUGUAUACACAUUUGCUCCUAUUUUUAUUACAUUACUAUUCUCAUUACAUCAUUAUUAAUGUUGAUAUGCAUACCAGGUCAAAAAGGCUAUGGUUGGAUGGCUUUCUCAAGCUUAAUUCUGUCCUUACUGCAAAAGAGCUAUCUGAUCUACAGGAAGUUAUGCGUGAUAAGGAACUGAAUCUGAGAACUGACAUCUAUGAGAUCCUUCUGCAAGAGUCAUGACAUCUACACUCCCAGUGCUGCUGUUUUCCGACUGGUUGAAACGUUGCUAGUGUAGUAUCUGAUGCAUUGCUCUUGUCUUGAUAUGAUGCGACACGUUUGGUACAUUUUUCAGAUUGAGUUUACUUGCAUGGUUAUAGCUUGUGGAAUUGAUACAUUGUAGUAUAAGUGUAAAUUUAGGGGUAUAUCUGAACUUGCAAUGCACUUGUAAAUAAACAUUGGAAUUGAAAGAAAAACAAAAUAUCAGGAACCUAAGGUUGCUUGCUUAUGUUCAAUUGAUUGCCUAAAUUAAAAAAAGAAAUCAGUUGAUAGCAGUUUGCUGAUAAAAUGUUUGAUUGGUGCUCUAUUUGAGUGGUCCACUGGAAAACUUGAUGUGCUUCACUCACUUUUUAUUCUUAUUUUUUUUAAAAAUAUAACAAUUUUUAAAAUUUAAACUUUAAAUAAUUAGACUGAAAUCAAGAUGUUAUAUAACUUUAAUAUUUAAAAAGUUAAAUACAUAUAUAAUUUUAAUAUAUUAUACAAUUAAUAAAAAUAUUGUUUACACUUAACAUAAAUUUUCGAUUAGCUUUCCAAUUCCUUUGAAAGGUCUUCUUAAUUAGUUAGGUUUUUAUAAAAGUCUUAUUUUCAGAAGCAAAUUUGACAUGAUUUUCCUGCACCUCCAUAUCUUCUUCUGGCAAAAAUACAUUUUUAUCCUUCUUGUGUCAGUCCCAUAGAAUAACUUCCGGAUUAUGUAAUCCGGAAACACAUUUGGAAAAAGACUUCCAGAUUACAUAAUUCGGAAGUUAAAAAAGACUUUCAGAUUAUGUAAUUCGUAAAGUAAUCAUGCAUCUGAAAAAAAAAAACUUCUGGAUUAUAUAAUUCGAAGGUUAAUUACAAAUUUAAAAAAUGACUUCUGGAUUAUGUAAUUCGAAAUAUUACAGAAAGAUAGUUUUGGAAAUACGAAAAUCUAUAGAGAUGAGAGAAGAAGGUAUGGAGUUGCAGGAAGAAGCAACCCAUGAUUUGAUAUGAUAUAAGUCUGUCUCCAGACUGAAUUGAAUAAUCUAACUUUUUCUAUCCCUAAUUAGGAUGAUAUUGUCAAAUAAAAAGAUUUUUAUUUUGAUGAUUUGUAAAAUUGUCAAAAUUUUACAUUAUUUGUGUUGGUCUCACAGUAAAUAAUCACUGUUAAAUAACUCGUUAUCGUGACAGCGUAAUAUAUUUUACAUUUCAAAAAUUAUAUACUAUUAUAAUUAAUAAAUAAUAAAUCAAUUGUUGUACAUGCAGAGUUAAUGCAGGUCACGUAUUAUUGGGACAAUUUCUUUAUUAAGUUAAUAAUUCUUUAACAAAAUUACAAAGUGAUAGAAUGGUCAAUGACAAGGAAUUAAAAAAGAAACAUUGAAUAAAAAUAAAAAUAAAUUGAUUUAUUUUCAGUGCUCACAGUAUCAUCUAUUUUUAUGUAUUAAAGUAUCAUAUAAAGUGGUAGGUGUAUCCUAAUAACUAAAAACAACACGUGUAAAAGACUCUUAGUCGUGCUGAAAAAUUAAGAUUUGAAAAAUUAACAAUAUCAUUUUAAAAAAAUUGAGGAAAAAAGUCUUAAGACAGAUUUUUUAAUUUCAUUCAACAUUAAACAUGUAUAACAUUAUGUUUUAUGUUAGAAACAUGUAUUUUUUUCAGAGUAUAUUGAUUAAUGUAUAUACUCUUAUUUUAUAAAAAAAUAUCAUACCAAAUUAUAACUGUAUCACUACAAUAAAAUAAUCAAGAAACCAAUUUUAAAAAAUAAAAAAUAAUUAGUUACUAUAAUAACUAAAUUAGAAACUAUUUAGAAAUUAAAAAAAUUAUUGAUUUAUAAAUUAGUUUCUAAUAUUGAUAAAUAAUUUUUAAAUUGGUAUCUAAUUAGGUAUCAAAAUUUUAGCAACUAAUUAUUUAAAUUCUAAAUUUAGUAGAAAAAUCUUUCAUGUUAGAUCUCAUUAUACAAUUUGACAUCUUAACUAAGCUGACACCUCAAGCAACAACAAUUAUCUACCAUCUUUUGAGCUUCCUCUAUGACCUAUAUAACUCCAUAAAACUUCAAAAAACAUGGAGAAAACACCAAUAAACUUCUCGUACUAAUGAAACUUUUAAUUUCUUUAGGUUUCAAAUUCAAGUUUUACAAAUUAAAAACGUAAUGAAAAAAAAUAAAAUUAUACUAGUGAAAAGAAUAAUCAAACUACUUUAGUAAAUAGCUUGUGUUAAUAACAUAAAAAUACUCAUAAUAAAAUAAUGGUAUGAGAAUGUUGGAAAACAAAUAAUUUUACUAUAUUCCUGAUGUUGACUUGCCAAAACAUAUCAUUCUCUACUACGAUGUGACAUAUACUUUGACUUUUCCAUUUUUUUUUCUGUAUUUCUGACUUAGUUAUUUUUGUUGUCUAAGUUUUACUACACCUUAUGACAGAUAAUUUCUGUUGAAAACAAUUUUUUUUGUUCAAACAAGCCAUAUUAUUACGUAGUUAACUGGCUCAUGGUAUCUCACAGUCAUGUGUUUUCAAUUGUACGAUAAGAUUAAAUAACAUACAAAAAAUAAUUAUCAGUGUUUGAUUAUUGCAAGUAAAUGUUUGUGAUCAAACGUGUCAAGCCAUAAAUUCCUCUUGAAGUCAACUCUAUGAUGCUAAACAUGAACAAUGAGUGCUUAGUUUAUUCAUUUAUGUUUAAGGUUUGAUAACAGAGCAACUCUGACAUCUGGAUAUCUCUGAAGCUAUGUGAAAGACAUGAACAAUGAGAUGAAACUAUUAUUUAUUCUCUGCUAAUCCAAUACUACUUUUGAACUAAGUAAUUAAGUAUACAAGAGUUUUUUUAAUAUAAUAAAAAAAAUAAAAAAUAAGAUGAGAAUAUUUACUAACAAACUCUAAGAAAAUAUCUAUUUUGUAAUCCCUUUUCUCUUCUAUUCAAGAAUGUUGUAUUCGGAAAGCAUCAAUCCUCCCUACACCUUUGAAUACUUCGUAUUUAAAUCACGGUUUGAGAUAUUCUGCUUAUCUAUCUUCUUCAUCUUUCACUUUUACCAUCGGUGAGAAUGAAAAAACAAACUUUUUGUGGUUUAAUUAAUGUUUCUUUUUCUUUUUCAAGAGUUCUUUCUUUGCUGAUAGAGACAUUUGUUUUUAUCAUGUAUGACUUGGUCUCUUAUUUCUCUUCUUACAUUGCACUCACCACUUUGCUUGCACCAUUAUCACUUUGAAGCUGUGCACUACAUAACUGUCAAUCUAUGAUAUAUAAAUCCUAAGUCAAAUCAGAAGACAACAAACAUCAACAAAAUACCUUAACCAACAGUUGAAUAUCCAAUAAUUAUCUUCUCAAACUUUGCUGGCAGUUCACUACAUGCAUGCAUAUCACUAAUAAAGCUAUGAUGGCAUCAUUAUAUAUAAUCACAGCAUGCCUGGCUGAACACACAACUCCACCACUUACCAUCUUAUCCUUUUCAUAAACCUCUUCUCAACCAUCCAUGACAGUUCCUCCAAUAAGUUUUGUUCUAGGAGUAGCACUUUGGGUGCUAUUCUUCUCAAAACCUUGUCUCACAGUGUUUGUAAGCAUUGAUUGUGGAUCCUCACAAUCUUCCACUGAUGAAAACAACAUAAGAUGGGUUGGAGAUGGUGACUACAUUCAACAUGGAGAGUCUCAUGAUGUCUAUCUAGGUUCUAAUCCAUUGAGCACUCUGAGGGCAUUCCCAAAUAGAAAAAAGAGUUGCUAUUCCAUCAGAGUUGGGAAAGGAGAAAAAAUUCUUACCCGAGCAAGCUUUUACUAUGGCAAUUAUGACAAAAAAUUCUCUCCACCAGUGUUUGAUCUUCAGUUUGAUGGCAACUACUGGGCCACAGUCAACAGCUCAAGUUACUAUUAUGUAGAUUAUGAAGCAAUAUAUAUUACAAAGGGAAACUUCACCAGCAUAUGUGUUGCUCAAACAAAGCCUAACCAGAUUCCCUUCAUAUCAUCCCUUGAAGUACGUAGCUUGGACCCCACAAUGUACAGUCAUGUUGAUCCCAAUCAUGCAUUGAUUUUGCAAUGGAGAUAUGCUUUUGGUGGAAAUCAAACUAUAAGGUAUUAGCAAUUACCCUCACUCAGUAGUAGAUUUAUGAACUAUGAUAAGUAGAAGUAUAUGUUAUGAACUUAUGGUAUUUGAACAAAAAGUUUGAAUUUCCUCACUCUAUAUAGUAUAUAGAAGGAUUCCCUUAUUCCAACUAUAGCAAGUUUUGAAACACUCUUCCCUUGAACAACGUCCAUGAAUGCUAAAGUUUAACUGUUGAGUAAGAAGUUUUUUCUUCAUAGCUAAACUACCUCCCAAAAUUUCUAUAUAAUUUUAAACAGAGUUUAAUUUUCAUAUAAAGACUUUUAAAUUGUAGACCUAGACCAAUGUAAUGUUAGUUAAGAGUUGUAAUUAUUAUUUACAAAAACUAACCAAUUUAGUAUGAUAUUUGUGGCUGAAUAGACUGUAAAAGCUCUUCACAUUAUUGGUGAAUUAGAUUGAAUGGCAUUUGGAAGCAGCACUUCAUUUUAUUUUAUUGUAUAAUACACUUUCCAAAAGAAAAAUGUUUGCCAUCAAAUUUGGUGUUUGAUAUUGUUAUUGUUGCAUCAACUGGAAUAUGGUAGGUACCCAGAUGAUGUUUUUGAUCGAAUAUGGACGCCAUCAUUUGGUAUAGGUCUUUCUGAAGUGAAAAGUGAGGCAUCAGGUAUUGACACUAGUACAGCAGAAGAUCAUCCACCACAAGCUGCACUUGGAAAUGCAGUUAUUUCCUCAAGCACUACACAGAACAUGCAGUUCAUCAAUAGGCUGCCCACAGAGGAGCUU